RNAcentral lists this non-coding RNA (23 nucleotides) under Arabidopsis thaliana (thale cress). Lineage: Eukaryota; Viridiplantae; Streptophyta; Magnoliopsida; Brassicales; Brassicaceae. The record is from RNAcentral.
ACAGAGGAUUCUUCUUCAGCCAA